AUAUGAGUAUUUUUUUUAAUGGUCCUCUUUAAAUUUUGGGACAUUAGACACGUGUCGAUUUCUCUACUCUUUAAAAUCGGCCCUGGUUUGAAGGUGUCGUGCAUCUAUUUAUAAUAGAAGAAUGAGUGAUUUUGUUCGAACCCUAAGGUAUUAUGGCCUAUCUACUCGAUUCUCGAUGGCUAACGGCUCAAGCAAAGCUAUAAGCUAGAAAUUGUACAAAAUAUGAAAGAAAUGAAGAUGGAAUAUUAUUAGGGCAUGAUUUAAGGAGUGCAGUUUUGAUGCAGAACAAUGCAAGUAAUGAAAACAAUUAAUAAACAGCCGAGCCGGUCAUUUUUGUAUGUAGCCUCUCCCCAGGCGCGGCGCUCUCUCAGGUUAGGGUUCUUCAGGCGGCUUCAAAUUAGCAGAACCAAAAAAUGGAUAACUCGCAGUCGCUACAACUUCUGUCCUUUGGGCGAGCACUUUGUGCGCGUUGGGUAAACCCCAUUGUAUAAUAGCCUGCAAACCACACAGAAAAUGUAAACCGCACUAGGCAAGCCCUAUGCGAUGGAUUCGACUCAAAAGACAUUGAGGGGGAUCGAUCACAGUCCACCCUCCAAACUAAGUGAACCAUCCCGAAGGACAACUCUUUGAUUUAUUUGUACAUAAUUCAGAAUUCUUAAAAAAAAUAAAAAAAUAGUUAUGGUGUACUGUUCCUUAAUUUGUCUUACCUCUUACAGGCUGGAUACAGUGCACCUUUGCACUGUGAAACUAUAGCAGAUGAACCAAUUUCUAUUCCUAGUAAAAAUCUGUAACGGGAUUGGUUUUCA
Solanum tuberosum (potato) is the source of this 806-nucleotide long non-coding RNA. RefSeq lists it as uncharacterized. The record is from RefSeq and is a predicted model, not a curated record. The transcript is spliced from 5 exons. Lineage: Eukaryota; Viridiplantae; Streptophyta; Magnoliopsida; Solanales; Solanaceae.